AACGAACGCUGGCGGCAUGCCUAACACAUGCAAGUCGAACGAGACCUUCGGGUCUAGUGGCGCACGGGUGCGUAACGCGUGGUAACCUGCCCUUAGGUUCGGAAUAACUCCCCGAAAGGGGUGCUAAUACCGGAUAAUGUCUUCGGACCAAAGAUUUAUCGCCUUUGGAUGGGCCCGCGUGGGAUUAGCUAGUUGGUAGGGUAAAUGCCUACCAAGGCGACGAUCCAUAGCUGGUCUGAGAGGAUGAUCAGCCACACUGGGACUGGGACACGGCCCAGACUCCUACGGGAGGCAGCAGGGGGGAAUAUGGGACAAUGGGCGAGAGCCUGAUCCAGCAAGGCCGCGUGAGUGAUGAAGGCCUUAGGGUUGUAAAGCUCAUUUAACCGGGAUGAUAAUGACAGUACCGGGAGAAUAAGCUCCGGCUAACUCCGUG
This 433-nucleotide ribosomal RNA is filed under the name uncultured bacterium. RNAcentral describes it as "partial 16S ribosomal RNA". It matches the Rfam family "Bacterial small subunit ribosomal RNA", at positions 29 to 507 of the family's 1533-position model. The record is from RNAcentral.